This 253-nucleotide ribosomal RNA is filed under the name uncultured bacterium. RNAcentral describes it as "partial 16S ribosomal RNA". It matches the Rfam family "Bacterial small subunit ribosomal RNA", at positions 524 to 776 of the family's 1533-position model. The record is from RNAcentral.
UACGUAGGGGGCAAGCGUUGUUCGGAAUUACUGGGCGUAAAGGGCGCGUAGGCGGCCAACUAAGUCAGACGUGAAAUCCCUCGGCUUAACCGGGGAACUGCAUCUGAUACUGGAUGGCUUGAGAUUGGGAGAGGGAUGCGGAAUUCCAGGUGUAGCGGUGAAAUGCGUAGAUAUCUGGAGGAACACCGGUGGCGAAGGCGGCAUCCUGGACCGGUAUUGACGCUGAUGCGCGAAAGCCAGGGGAGCAAACGGG